UACGGAGGGGGCUAGCGUUGUUCGGAAUUACUGGGCGUAAAGGGCGCGUAGGCGGUUUACCAAGUCAGGCGUGAAAGGCCUGGGCUCAACCCGGGAACUGCGCUUGAUACUUGUAGACUUGUGUCCGGGAGAGGAUGGCGGAAUUCCCAGUGUAGAGGUGAAAUUCGUAGAUAUUGGGAAGAACACCGGUGGCGAAGGCGGCCAUCUGGACCGGAACUGACGCUGAGGCGCGAAAGCGUGGGGAGCAAACAGG
RNAcentral lists this ribosomal RNA (253 nucleotides) under uncultured bacterium. RNAcentral's name for it is "partial 16S ribosomal RNA". It matches the Rfam family "Bacterial small subunit ribosomal RNA", at positions 524 to 776 of the family's 1533-position model. The record is from RNAcentral.